Long non-coding RNA from Fulmarus glacialis (Northern fulmar), 726 nucleotides. RefSeq lists it as uncharacterized. Lineage: Eukaryota; Metazoa; Chordata; Aves; Procellariiformes; Procellariidae. The record is from RefSeq and is a predicted model, not a curated record. The transcript is spliced from 4 exons.
GCAGCCCACACAUCAUCUUCUUGUCACAGAGUGUAUUACCGGGAGGGAGCCAUCUCUGUGGAACACGUCUGUGCCAUGAAAUUGCUCAUGCUUGGUUUGGACUGGCCAUUGGUGCUCGUGAUUGGACUGAAGAGUGGAUAAGUGAAGGGUUUGCCACUUUUUUAGAAGAUAUAUUUUGGGCUAGGGCACAACAGCUGUCACAUGAUGAAGUAAAAGGGCAGCAGGAAUUCUUUACUUCGCUGGCGACGACUCAGAGAUGAGGUGCAGAACUCUGAAGAAGAGCUGCAAAUUUUAAGGCCCAACAAGGAAAGCACAGGAGAAUUGAGUGAGUCUGGAGCAUCUGUUGUCAAACAUGGUCUUAAAGCAGAAAAAAUCUUCAUGCAGGUUCACUAUUUGAAGGGUUAUUUCCUUUUGCGGUCUCUGGCAAAGACAAUAGGAGAGGCUUCAUACUUUGCAUCUUUACGAAAAUUUGUCCAUAAGUUCCAUGGGCAGCUUGUCCUUUCUCAGGUACUGUGCUUGGGGUUGUUCCUCACUUUCUGAAAAAAACAAAUUACCUAAAUUUUUGGUUUGACUAUCUAAAUCACUACUUCUGGUUGUGGUGAAAACAGAGAGGCGCUUGUAACUUGGCAAUAUUGGUGAAAUUCCUACCUGCUAGAGGGCAGAACAUUUUUUUCAGGGUGAUAUAUAAAUUGGACACCCUGCUAGUAUCUGAUAAUGUAAACAAUA